GACGAACGCUGGCGGCGUGCUUAACACAUGCAAGUCGAACGGAAAGGCCCUGCUUUUGUGGGGUGCUCGAGUGGCGAACGGGUGAGUAACACGUGAGUAACCUGCCCUUGACUUUGGGAUAACUUCAGGAAACUGGGGCUAAUACCGGAUAGGAGCUCCUGCUGCAUGGUGGGGGUUGGAAAGUUUCGGCGGUUGGGGAUGGACUCGCGGCUUAUCAGCUUGUUGGUGGGGUAGUGGCUUACCAAGGCUUUGACGGGUAGCCGGCCUGAGAGGGUGACCGGCCACAUUGGGACUAAGAUACGGCCCAGACUCCUACGGGAGGCAGCAGUGGGGAAUAUUGCACAAUGGGCGGAAGCCUGAUGCAGCAACGCCGCGUGCGGGAUGACGGCCUUCGGGUUGUAAACCGCUUUCGCCUGUGACGAAGCAUGAGUGACGGUAAUGGGUAAAGAAGCACCGGCUAACUACGUG
This 468-nucleotide ribosomal RNA is filed under the name uncultured bacterium. Its description in RNAcentral is "partial 16S ribosomal RNA". It matches the Rfam family "Bacterial small subunit ribosomal RNA", at positions 28 to 507 of the family's 1533-position model. The record is from RNAcentral.